This 414-nucleotide ribosomal RNA is filed under the name Anaplasma platys. RNAcentral's name for it is "bacterial SSU rRNA". It matches the Rfam family "Bacterial small subunit ribosomal RNA", at positions 62 to 504 of the family's 1533-position model. Lineage: Bacteria; Pseudomonadati; Pseudomonadota; Alphaproteobacteria; Rickettsiales; Anaplasmataceae. The record is from RNAcentral.
UCGAACGGAUUUUUGUCGUAGCUUGCUAUGAUAAAAAUUAGUGGCAGACGGGUGAGUAAUGCAUAGGAAUCUACCUAGUAGUAUGGGAUAGCCACUAGAAAUGGUGGGUAAUACUGUAUAAUCCCUGCGGGGGAAAGAUUUAUCGCUAUUAGAUGAGCCUAUGUUAGAUUAGCUAGUUGGUAGGGUAAAGGCCUACCAAGGCGGUGAUCUAUAGCUGGUCUGAGAGGAUGAUCAGCCACACUGGAACUGAGAUACGGUCCAGACUCCUACGGGAGGCAGCAGUGGGGAAUAUUGGACAAUGGGCGCAAGCCUGAUCCAGCUAUGCCGCGUGAGUGAGGAAGGCCUUAGGGUUGUAAAACUCUUUCAGUGGGGAAGAUAAUGACGGUACCCACAGAAGAAGUCCCGGCAAACUCC